Gallus gallus (chicken) is the source of this 200-nucleotide long non-coding RNA. RefSeq lists it as uncharacterized. NCBI's taxonomy places the organism in Eukaryota, Metazoa, Chordata, Aves, Galliformes, Phasianidae. The transcript is spliced from 2 exons. The record is from RefSeq and is a predicted model, not a curated record.
GUGGACGGAGAGAUCGCCCAGACCUUCCAAGUGCAGGAGGAGCCCCGCAAAGCCUUCCGCCAGAUCAAACUGGAGGUGCGGAGCAACUGGGGAAACAAGGAAUACACCUGCCUGUACAGAGCCGAUGUUCACGGCAACCCAGAAAAGGCAUAAUAGAUACGUAGAACGGAAUAAUUAAAUAAAAAGAUGUUGCUACCUUU